Molecule: ribosomal RNA, 253 nt
Filed under: uncultured bacterium
Lineage: Bacteria
Description: partial 16S ribosomal RNA
Rfam family: Bacterial small subunit ribosomal RNA
Source: RNAcentral
UACGGGGGGGGCAAGCGUUGUUCGGAAUUACUGGGCGUAAAGCGUGCGCAGGCGGUGCACCAAGCUCGAUGUGAAAGCCCCGGGCUUAACCUGGGAAUUGCAUUGAGGACUGGUGUGCUCGAGUGCGGCAGAGGGGGGUGGAAUUCCACGUGUAGCAGUGAAAUGCGUAGAGAUGUGGAGGAACACCGAUGGCGAAGGCAGCCCCCUGGGCCGACACUGACGCUCAUGCACGAAAGCGUGGGGAGCAAACAGG